This 348-nucleotide unclassified non-coding RNA is filed under the name soil metagenome. RNAcentral's name for it is "partial contains 5.8S ribosomal RNA, internal transcribed spacer 2, and large subunit ribosomal RNA". The stretch from base 1 to 120 matches the Rfam family "5.8S ribosomal RNA", at positions 35 to 154 of the family's 154-position model. The record is from RNAcentral.
GAUGAAGAACGCAGCGAAAUGCGAUAAGUAAUGUGAAUUGCAGAAUUCAGUGAAUCAUCGAAUCUUUGAACGCACAUGGCGCCCGCCAGUAUUCUGGCGGGCAUGCCUGUCUGAGCGUCAUUUCAACCCUCAUGCCCCUAGGGCGUGGUGUUGGGGAUCGGCCAAAGCCCGCGAGGGACGGCCGGCCCCUAAAUCUAGUGGCGGACCCGUCGUGGCCUCCUCUGCGAAGUAGUGAUAUUCCGCAUCGGAGAGCGAUGAGCCCCUGCCGUUAAACCCCCAACUUUCCAAGGUUGACCUCAGAUCAGGUAGGAAUACCAGCUGAACUUAAGCAUAUCAAUAAGCGGAGGA